AGUGAACGCUGGCGGUAGGCCUAACACAUGCAAGUCGAACGGCAGCACAGUAAGAGCUUGCUCUUACGGGUGGCGAGUGGCGGACGGGUGAGGAAUACAUCGGAAUCUACUUUUUCGUGGGGGAUAACGUAGGGAAACUUACGCUAAUACCGCAUACGACCUACGGGUGAAAGCAGGGGAUCUUCGGACCUUGCGCGAUUGAAUGAGCCGAUGUCGGAUUAGCUAGUUGGCGGGGUAAAGGCCCACCAAGGCAACGAUGCGUAGCUGGUCUGAGAGGAUGAUCGGCCACCAUGGAACAGGGACACGGUCCAGACCCCUACGGGAGGCAGCAGUGGGGAAUAUUCGGCAAUGGGCGAAAGCCUGGCGGAGCCAAGCCGCGUGGGGGAAAAAAGGCUUCGGGUCGUAAAACCCUUUUUUUGGGGAAGAAAAAAUGGGAAGGUAACUACCCGCGUCUUGACGGUACCCAAUAAAAAAACCACGGCUAACUUCGUG
This 492-nucleotide ribosomal RNA is filed under the name uncultured bacterium. Its description in RNAcentral is "partial 16S ribosomal RNA". It matches the Rfam family "Bacterial small subunit ribosomal RNA", at positions 29 to 507 of the family's 1533-position model. The record is from RNAcentral.